This 437-nucleotide ribosomal RNA is filed under the name uncultured bacterium. Its description in RNAcentral is "bacterial SSU rRNA". It matches the Rfam family "Bacterial small subunit ribosomal RNA", at positions 356 to 773 of the family's 1533-position model. The record is from RNAcentral.
GGGGAAUCUUGCGCAAUGGACGAAAGUCUGACGCAGCGACGCCGCGUGCGGGAGGAAGCUCUUCGGGGUGUAAACCGCUGUUGCCCGGAACGAAACUCACCUUUCGAGGUGAUUGACGGUACCGGGUGAGGAAGCGCCGGCUAACUCUGUGCCAGCAGCCGCGGUAAUACAGAGGGCGCGAGCGUUGUCCGGAAUCACUGGGCGUAAAGGGCGCGUAGGUGGCCACUAUAAGGCCGCGGUGAAAGUUCGGGGCUCAACCCUGAAUCUGCCGCGGCGACUGUAGGGCUAGGGCACCGUAGAGGCAGAUGGAAUUCCGGGUGUAGCGGUGGAAUGCGUAGAGAUCCGGAAGAACACCGGUGGCGAAGGCGGUCUGCUGGGCGGUGAACCCGCAAGGGUUCAAUAGCCGACACUGAGGCGCGACAGCGUGGGGAGCAAAC